CGGGCUAUAGCACAGUGGUAGUGUGCACGCAUGGGGUGCGUGUGGCGGCAGUUCGAUUCUGCCUAGCCCGA
This 71-nucleotide transfer RNA is filed under the name Minisyncoccota bacterium. Its description in RNAcentral is "tRNA-Pro". It matches the Rfam family "tRNA". From Rfam's summary of the family: Transfer RNA (tRNA) molecules are approximately 80 nucleotides in length. Their secondary structure includes four short double-helical elements and three loops (D, anti-codon, and T loops). Lineage: Bacteria; Bacillati; Minisyncoccota. The record is from RNAcentral.